GACGAACGCUGGCGGCGUGCUUAACACAUGCAAGUCGAACGGUGAAGCUCCAGCUUGCUGGAGUGGAUCAGUGGCGAACGGGUGAGUAACACGUGAGCAACCUGCCCCUGACUCUGGAAUAAGCGCUGGAAACGGCGUCUAAUACUGGAUACGAGAAGGGUCCGCAUGGGCACUUUCUGGAAAGUUUUUCGGUUGGGGAUGGGCUCGCGGCCUAUCAGCUUGUUGGUGAGGUAAUGGCUCACGAAGGCGACGACGGGUAGCCGGCCUGAGAGGGCGACCGGCCACACUGGGACUGAGACACGGCCCAGACUCCUACGGGAGGCAGCAGUGGGGAAUAUUGCACAAUGGGCGAAAGCCUGAUGCAGCGACGCCGCGUGAGGGAUGACGGCCUUCGGGUUGUAAACCUCUUUCAGCAGGGAAGAAGCGAAAGUGACGGUACCUGCAGAAGAAGCACCGGCUAACUACGUG
This 468-nucleotide ribosomal RNA is filed under the name uncultured bacterium. RNAcentral's name for it is "partial 16S ribosomal RNA". It matches the Rfam family "Bacterial small subunit ribosomal RNA", at positions 28 to 507 of the family's 1533-position model. The record is from RNAcentral.